RNAcentral lists this ribosomal RNA (1664 nucleotides) under Cohnella pontilimi. Its description in RNAcentral is "Bacterial large subunit ribosomal RNA". It matches the Rfam family "Bacterial large subunit ribosomal RNA", at positions 1223 to 2883 of the family's 2925-position model. Lineage: Bacteria; Bacillati; Bacillota; Bacilli; Caryophanales; Paenibacillaceae. The record is from Rfam by way of RNAcentral.
CUUGGGUAGGGGAGCGUUGUAUGCGGGUUGAAGUCGCACCGGAAGGAGCGGUGGACUGCAUACAAGUGAGAAUGCCGGUAUGAGUAACGAAAAGACAAGUGAGAAUCUUGUCCGCCGAAAGCCUAAGGGUUCCUGGGGAAGGUUCGUCCGCCCAGGGUAAGUCGGGACCUAAGGCGAGGCCGAAAGGCGUAGUCGAAGGACAACAGGUUGAAAUUCCUGUACCACCGUAAGCCGUUACGAGCGAUGGGGGGACGCAGGAGGGCAAGGACGCGAGCUGAUGGAAUAGCUCGUCCAAGCAGUAAGAGGUGCAUGUAGGCAAAUCCGCAUGCUGUAACCUUGAGCUGUGAUGGGGAGGGAAAAUUGCAGUACCGAAGGUCUUGUGCUCACGCUGCCGAGAAAAGCCUCUAGCCAGGCGAAGGUGCCCGUACCGCAAACCGACACAGGUAGGCGAGAUGAAAAUUCUAAGGCGCGCGGAAGAACUCUCGUUAAGGAACUCGGCAAAAUGACCCCGUAACUUCGGGAGAAGGGGUGCCCCGGUAAGGUGAAUAGCCUGAGGGGGCCGCAGUGAAGAGGCCCAAGCGACUGUUUAGCAAAAACACAGGUCUGUGCGAAGCCGCAAGGCGAAGUAUACGGGCUGACGCCUGCCCGGUGCUGGAAGGUUAAGGGGAGCGGUUAGGGUUAAACCGAAGCUGUGAACCGAAGCCCCAGUAAACGGCGGCCGUAACUAUAACGGUCCUAAGGUAGCGAAAUUCCUUGUCAGGUAAAUUCUGACCCGCACGAAUGGCGUAACGAUCUUGGGCGCUGUCUCAACGAGAGAUCCGGUGAAAUUUUAGUACCUGUGAAGAUGCAGGUUACCCGCGACGUGACGGAAAGACCCCAUGGAGCUUUACUGCAGCUUGAUAUUGGACUUUGGUACGGUCUGUACAGGAUAGGUGGGAGCCUAAGAAGCCUGAGCGCCAGCUUAGGUGGAGGCGGCGUUGGGAUACCACCCUGAUCGUAUCGGAGUUCUAACCUGUCACCGUGAAUCCGGUGAAGGGACCGUGUCAGGCGGGCAGUUUGACUGGGGCGGUCGCCUCCUAAAAAGUAACGGAGGCGCCCCAAGGUUCCCUCAGCGCGGUUGGAAAUCGCGCGAAGAGUGCAAAGGCAUAAGGGAGCUUGACUGCGAGACCUACAAGUCGAGCAGGGACGAAAGUCGGGCUUAGUGAUCCGGUGGUACCGAAUGGAAGGGCCAUCGCUCAACGGAUAAAAGCUACCCUGGGGAUAACAGGCUUAUCUCCCCCAAGAGUCCACAUCGACGGGGAGGUUUGGCACCUCGAUGUCGGCUCAUCGCAUCCUGGGGCUGAAGUAGGUCCCAAGGGUUGGGCUGUUCGCCCAUUAAAGCGGUACGCGAGCUGGGUUCAGAACGUCGUGAGACAGUUCGGUCCCUAUCUGUCGCGGGCGUAGGAAAUUUGAGAGGGGCUGUCCUUAGUACGAGAGGACCGGGAUGGACGCACCGCUGGUGUACCAGUUGUUCCGCCAGGAGCACCGCUGGGUAGCCAAGUGCGGGAGGGAUAAGCGCUGAAAGCAUCUAAGCGCGAAGCCCGCCUCAAGAUGAGAUUUCCCAAUUUAGUAAGACCCCUGGAAGAACACCAGGUUGAUAGGCUCGGGGUGGAAGCGCGGCAACG